RNAcentral lists this ribosomal RNA (230 nucleotides) under uncultured bacterium. RNAcentral describes it as "partial 16S ribosomal RNA". It matches the Rfam family "Bacterial small subunit ribosomal RNA", at positions 563 to 791 of the family's 1533-position model. The record is from RNAcentral.
AAGGGUGCGUAGGCGGCCUGAUAAGUCCGGGGUGAAAGCCCGUUGCUCAACAACGGAACUGCCCUGGAUACUGUGAGGCUUGAGUACAGACGAGGUUGGCGGAAUGGACGGAGUAGCGGUGAAAUGCAUAGAUACCGUCCAGAACCCCCGAUUGCGAAGGCAGCUGACUAGGCUGUUACUGACGCUGAGGCACGACAGCGUGGGGAGCGAACAGGAUUAGAUACCCUUGU